UUUUGGACAAUGGUGGCGACCCUGAUCCAGCCAUUCCGCGUGAGUGAAGAAGGCCUUCGGGUUGUAAAGCUCUUUCGCGAGGGAAGAAAACUUAUGAUCGAAUAAAUCAUGAGGUUGACGGUACCUUGAUAAGAAGCACCGGCUAACUACGUGCCAGCAGCCGCGGUAAUACGUAGGGUGCGAGCGUUAAUCGGAAUUACUGGGCGUAAAGCGUGCGCAGGCGGUUUUGUAAGUCGGAUGUGAAAUCCCCGGGCUCAACCUGUGAACUGCGUUCGAAACUGCAAGGCUAGAGUGUGUCAGAGGGGGGUAGAAUUCCACGUGUAGCAGUGAAAUGCGUAGAGAUGUGGAGGAAUACCAAUGGCGAAGGCAGCCCCCUGGGAUAACACUGACGCUCAUGCACGAA
Molecule: ribosomal RNA, 403 nt
Filed under: uncultured bacterium
Lineage: Bacteria
Description: bacterial SSU rRNA
Rfam family: Bacterial small subunit ribosomal RNA
Source: RNAcentral